This 2717-nucleotide long non-coding RNA is filed under the name Pelobates cultripes (western spadefoot toad). Lineage: Eukaryota; Metazoa; Chordata; Amphibia; Anura; Pelobatidae. The record is from RNAcentral.
GUAGGAUCAGCAAUGCCCUUCAGGGUCUAGCUUGGUUACAUUUUAGUCUAUCUUUCGCAUACUAAUCUUUGAGGACUGACUGAAUUAAACAAGGACAUUUAGAAUUUCCGACAGGAAGUACCAGAAUUUAGCCUGGCUAAUGUAGGGCAAUAUUAUCACUACUGCGCACUGUACUGGUUAUGGUGUUAAACUGUUUGACUUCUUACUUGAAGCCUGUCAGAUGAGAGUUGAAAGUGCCUGCUAGCUCUCUUGUGCUACACCAUUCACUGCAAGGUCAGCUCAUGUGUAUUGCUUUUUUCCCCCGUUCGCUACGCUGACUGCCUUUAGAUGUAAAGGAAAGUUUCUAGCACGCCUAGACAUGGAAGAGAUAUGGAUUUCAAAAUUUACAUUUAUUUUUCACCUUAUCAGUACAUAGUUGUUAAAUAUGAAAAGGAGUAAAAAAGUAAAGGUAAAAAAGGGGAUAUUACUUCGGAAGCAUUUACCAUAUUUCUGUUAAAAUUACAUUCUCUUAAAUAUUAAUAUAGUCUGACUUUUUUCAAAUAAAACACUAAUCAAUUUGUUAAACUAGGUUAGACUCGGAAAUAGAAUAUCACUAACCGUUCUAAGCAUUAAUGAUAUGGACACAGUUAUAUUUCUUAAUACUUGCUGGUUCCUUGUCUAACAGUAUUAUUAAAACCAUUUUGAAAAAAGCAAAGACUAAAAGGGGCUAUUCACUAAAGUGAGAAUCAAAUAUAAGUGAAUAAUCCUUUACCUUUAUUAAAGGUAGAGAAUAUAUCUUUCAAAUGCACUCUGCAGUUUCCUUUGUAAGUUUGUUAUAUAAUGGAAAAAAUAUAUACCUGAUCAUUUGCUCAUCUGUGAAAGAUAAGAUAAAACAGCAUCAAGUGAACACAUUUCUAUCUUGAAAUCCAACAGUUUUAGUUCACGUGUCAUAUGUAAAUCAUUCAAGGUCUCUAGUCGUCCUUCAGUUUUAGAUAGAAUUGCUAGUAUUUCAAGACCCAAUUUACAUUUUACCCUUUUACCCAAUUUACAAUUUACAUCAAUUUACAUUAUAGAGCUCUGAUGUUCAGAUGCUCUAGAAAAUACAUAGAAGCACCACUGUUUAGUUUUAAGUUACCCAGGGUUUAGGUUACCCAACAAUUAUAUAGCAUAUUUCUAAAAUGAAAGUUAUUGCCAAUGGAACAACAACAUUUAUUCGGUUUUAGAAUUUCUUUAUGCCAACAAUGCAAACUCCAUUUUGCAUACAAAACGCUUUCAUGAAGAUGUACCCGUCACAUAUUCCAUGCGUCAGAUAAUUGUUAACAUCGCUAUGUUCUAGUUAAUUUUCAUAUCUACUUGUUAUGUAAAAGGGGUGAUGUUUGGUAUCUUAUAUAUGUAAACUGUAUACCCUUGUUAUUUGUUUUUCUGGAGGUUUUUUUUAUGCAUCAUAUAUUAUAUCAAUUCAUAUGAUAUUAUUCUUGCUGUUAUGGAAACAAAUUUAUCUAUAUUUAAGAUCAUUUGAAGAGUAUUUACAGAUUCAUAAACAAACAUACGGAUGUAGGUAUUCAACCGAUAUGUCCCUGGGCCACAUAUAGUUGGCUCAAGCUAUCAGAUCUGGUUUUAUAUCCAUCUGUUGUGCUUUUCAUGUAUCUGAUCCCCAGUAAUUACUCAAAAGACAAUUCCAAAGAGAUAGUGGCAAACCAAAAUGUUACCAAACUAUAUUGGUAACAAAUAAAACGCUCGCACAAAAUUGUUAAAAUAAGACCAAUUAAAACAAGAACAAACAAGUCCAAUAGCACUGACACAUUUUUACCUAUAAGGUCUUUAAAAAUCUUUGCACAAUGCUCAGAGCUCACUCCUAUAUAGCCAUUUCUGGUUUUACUUUGGAUGAGCUAUAUUGCAAUAUUAAGAAACAGACCAACCCUUAAAGUGUUAACCUUUGGAAUACUUUGACUUAAUUCUUUUAUGUCACCUGGAACAAACCUAUCAUGAUUGGAUUCACACCACAGAAUCUUCAUGCAGAGAAUUCUUUAGAAUGAGUCCCACAUUGUUUACAGGAAUUACAUAUUUAAAGAUCUGUUCAUGAGUCCAGUAAUAAAGUCAGAGGUAGUCGCAAAAUAACCAUUUGAAGAAAUUAUAGUUGACACUCAAUUUGACAGGACAUUUUGCAGCAUGAAGUGGUGUAAUUGUCACAAAAGUCCCCCAGUCCUCUCCACACAAUUCAAUUUCAUCACGUUAUUUGCCAUAAUAUAUAUAUUUUUUUAGUAAUCUAGUGUUAGCAAUUUUAUGUUUAUCUUUCAAAAUUUACUUCUGUAAUGUUUUGAUUCCAACUGUCUUUUUUGUAGGUUUUCAUCCUAAUUUAUACAUUGGCAUGCAAAUUUAUAGAUUAAAUCAUAUACUCAAUCUAGUGAGCAUAAGUUGUUUGGAGCAUGACAGAUGCCCUUUAAAACUGCAGUGUACAUUUACAUUGCAUCGCUAAGAGGGACAAGCACACUGUACCCAGACCGUGUCAAUAAAAUUAAAUGGUCUGGGUGCCUAUGGUGUCCCUUUAAGAUAAAUGUAUCUUAGGUAAAUAAAAUAAAAAAAAGAUUACAUAUUUUCUAAACUACGUCAAUGUUAGUUGAACAGAGAUUACUCUAAACAGAUGGAAAUGACUGUUCGACUGACCAGAGUAACUAAAUCUUUAGCAUUAGAAAGCAGAAGACUAUUAGACUUGUCUCUUUAGGAGAUUCUAAAAGCAG